GGUCUAGUGGUGUAACGGUUAUCACGUCUCGUUUACACCGAGGAGGCUCCGAGUUCGAUUCUCGGCUGGAUCA
This 73-nucleotide transfer RNA is filed under the name Kuraishia capsulata CBS 1993. Its description in RNAcentral is "tRNA-Val (TAC) (tRNA-Val-TAC-1-1)". It matches the Rfam family "tRNA". From Rfam's summary of the family: Transfer RNA (tRNA) molecules are approximately 80 nucleotides in length. Their secondary structure includes four short double-helical elements and three loops (D, anti-codon, and T loops). Lineage: Eukaryota; Fungi; Ascomycota; Pichiomycetes; Pichiales; Pichiaceae. The record is from RNAcentral.